CCUACGGGUGGCAGCAGUGGUGAAUAUUGCACAAUGGGGGAAACCCUGAUGCAGCGACGCCGCGUGAGUGAAGAAGUAAUUCGUUACGUAAAGCUCUAUCAGCAGGGAAGAAAAUGACGGUACCUGAGUAAGAAGCCCCGGCUAACUACGUGCCAGCAGCCGCGGUAAUACGUAGGGGGCAAGCGUUAGCCGGAUUUACUUGGUGUAAAGGGAGCGUAGACGGUGCGCCAAGUCUGGAGUGAAAUGCCGCAGCUUAACUGCGGAACUGAUUUGGAAACUGGCGAACUAGAGUGCGGGAGGGGUAAGCGGAAUGCCUAGUGUAGCGGUGAAAUGCUUAGAUAUCACGAAGAACCCCGAUUGCGAAGGCAGCCUGCCGCAGCGUUACUGACGCUGAAGCUCGAAAGCGCGGGUAUCGAACAGGAUUAGAUACCCCGUAGUC
Molecule: ribosomal RNA, 439 nt
Filed under: uncultured bacterium
Lineage: Bacteria
Description: partial 16S ribosomal RNA
Rfam family: Bacterial small subunit ribosomal RNA
Source: RNAcentral